UACGUAGGUGGCAAGCGUUGUCCGGAAUAACUGGGCGUAAAGCGCAUGUAGACGGCAUAGCAAGCCAAGUGUGAAAUUUAGGGGCUUAACCUCUAAACUGCGCUUGGAACUGCUGAGCUUGAGUGCAGGAGAGGCAAGUGGAAUUCCCAGUGUAGCAGUGAAAUGCGUAGAUAUUGGGAGGAACACCAGUGGCGAAGGCGACUUGCUGGACUGCAACUGACGUUGAGAUGCGAAAGCUAGGGGAGCAAACGGGAUUAGAUACCCCGGUAGUCCUAGCUGUAAACGAUGGAUACUAGGCGUGGGAGGUAUCGACCCCUUCCGUGCCGCAGCGAACGCAAUAAGUAUCCCGCCUGGGGAGUACGGUCGCAAGAUUGAA
RNAcentral lists this ribosomal RNA (376 nucleotides) under uncultured bacterium. RNAcentral's name for it is "bacterial SSU rRNA". It matches the Rfam family "Bacterial small subunit ribosomal RNA", at positions 524 to 898 of the family's 1533-position model. The record is from RNAcentral.